UACGGGGGGGGGCAAGCGUUGUUCGGAAUUACUGGGCGUAAAGGGCUCGUAGGCGGCCAACUAAGUCAGACGUGAAAUCCCUCGGCUUAACCGGGGAACUGCAUCUGAUACUGGAUGGCUUGAGAUUGGGAGAGGGAUGCGGAAUUCCAGGUGUAGCGGUGAAAUGCGUAGAUAUCUGGAGGAACACCGGUGGCGAAGGCGGCAUCCUGGACCAACACUGACGCUGAGGAGCGAAAGCAUGGGGGAGCGAACAGG
RNAcentral lists this ribosomal RNA (255 nucleotides) under uncultured bacterium. Its description in RNAcentral is "partial 16S ribosomal RNA". It matches the Rfam family "Bacterial small subunit ribosomal RNA", at positions 524 to 776 of the family's 1533-position model. The record is from RNAcentral.